Saccoglossus kowalevskii is the source of this 702-nucleotide long non-coding RNA. Lineage: Eukaryota; Metazoa; Hemichordata; Enteropneusta; Harrimaniidae. The record is from RefSeq and is a predicted model, not a curated record.
AAGACGAUGAAUUUCUACCACACCGCAUCGGCAUUUAUAUUUCUUUUCUUAAUUGCGUAUCUGCUGUUUGUUGUUCUUUGCUGGUUGGGCAUCUUAUAGGUCAUAUUUGUCGUCUGUCACGCAACAGCCAAACCUAAGAGGGUUAAUUAACGAGAUAACUCGUGCCUGCAAGCAACCAUGGUCAACUCAAACACUGUAACGCCACCUCCAUGUGAAGAUCUGUUUGGCGCAGGCUUAGCGCCUUGACAACGUAAACAAGCGGCUUUAGCCUAACAAAGUGGAGAAUGGGUAACCAUGCAGUGGCAUGACUGUCAGAUGCCCAGACAAAAUGGUUUAUUCAGAGGAGGGACAAUAAAGACACCACCAGUGAUAGUAGUUAUAGACACAAACAGACGAUCUCAGUAUGGGCUGAAUAUUUGUCAAGCAUAUGGGACAUAAUGGAAAGUAGUGGUGAUAUACCAGAACAAAGUGAAAUAAAUGAUUCUAUUUAAUCAGAGGUUAUGGACAAAUCAGUAGUCAGAUAUUCUGAAACUUGUGCUACAUGAAUAUGCUACAUUGCUGUCAUGUGAAGAUCUUGGUUGGAAAAUAACACCGUCAAUUGGCCUGGACUGAAACAUUCAUAGCAAUAUCUCUGUUUUUGUAUAUAGUAAAUAUAGUAGUUCACUAUCAUUAAAAACAAAGAAACAUUUGUUUACUGGAAAA